AUAAGCCAGCUUGACUGCGAGCGUGACGGCGCGAGCAGGUGCGAAAGCAGGUCAUAGUGAUCCGGUGGUUCUGAAUGGAAGGGCCAUCGCUCAACGGAUAAAAGGUACUCCGGGGAUAACAGGCUGAUACCGCCCAAGAGUUCAUAUCGACGGCGGUGUUUGGCACCUCGAUGUCGGCUCAUCACAUCCUGGGGCUGAAGUAGGUCCCAAGGGUAUGGCUGUUCGCCAUUUAAAGUGGUACGCGAGCUGGGUUUAGAACGUCGUGAGACAGUUCGGUCCCUAUCUGCCGUGGGCGCUGGAGAACUGAGGGGGGCUGCUCCUAGUACGAGAGGACCGGAGUGGACGCAUCACUGGUGUUCGGGUUGUCAUGCCAAUGGCACUGCCCGGUAGCUAAAUGCGGAAGAGAUAAGUGCUGAAAGCAUCUAAGCACGAAACUUGCCCCGAGAUGAGUUCUCCCUGACUCCUUGAGAGUCCUGAAGGAACGUUGAAGACGACGACGUUGAUAGGCCGGGUGUGUAAGCGCAGCGAUGCGUUGAGCUAACCGGUACUAAUGAACCGUGAGGCUUAACCUUACAACGCCGAAG
This 584-nucleotide ribosomal RNA is filed under the name Escherichia coli. RNAcentral's name for it is "partial 23S ribosomal RNA". It matches the Rfam family "Bacterial large subunit ribosomal RNA", at positions 2359 to 2925 of the family's 2925-position model. The record is from RNAcentral. Lineage: Bacteria; Pseudomonadati; Pseudomonadota; Gammaproteobacteria; Enterobacterales; Enterobacteriaceae.